This 407-nucleotide ribosomal RNA is filed under the name Verrucomicrobiota bacterium. RNAcentral describes it as "Verrucomicrobia bacterium partial 16S ribosomal RNA". It matches the Rfam family "Bacterial small subunit ribosomal RNA", at positions 355 to 776 of the family's 1533-position model. The record is from RNAcentral. Lineage: Bacteria; Pseudomonadati; Verrucomicrobiota.
UGGGGAAUAUUGGACAAUGGAGGAAACUCUGAUCCAGCAAUUCUGUGUGUGUGAAGAAGGUUUUAGGACUGUAAAACACUUUUAGUAGGGAAGAAAAAAAUGACGGUACCUACAGAAGAAGCAACGGCUAAAUACGUGCCAGCAGCCGCGGUAAUACGUAUGUUGCGAGCGUUAUCCGGAAUUAUUGGUCUUAAAGGGCAUCUAGGCGGUAAGACAAGUUGAAGGUGAAAACCUGUGGCUCAACCAUAGGCUUGCCUACAAAACUGUUGAACUAGAGUACUGGAAAGGUGGGUGAAACUACACGGGUAGAGGUGAAAUUCGUAGAUAUGUGUAGGAAUGCCGAUGAUGAAGAUAACUCACUGGACAGAAACAGACGCUGAAGUGCGAAAACUAGGGGAGCAAACAGG